This 674-nucleotide ribosomal RNA is filed under the name uncultured archaeon. Its description in RNAcentral is "bacterial SSU rRNA". It matches the Rfam family "Archaeal small subunit ribosomal RNA", at positions 102 to 779 of the family's 1478-position model. The record is from RNAcentral.
AGUCAACAUGCCCAGGGGACGUGGAUAACCUCGGGAAACUGAGGAUAAACCGCGAUAGGUCAUAAUGUCUGGAAUGAUUUAUGGCUCAAACCUAUAUGGCCCCUGGAUUGGACUGCGGCCGAUCAGGCUGUUGGUGAGGUAAUGGCCCACCAAACCUAAAACCGGUACGGGCUCUGAGAGGAGAAGCCCGGAGAUGGGCACUGAGACAAGGGCCCAGGCCCUAUGGGGCGCAGCAGGCGCGAAAACUCUGCAGUAGGCGAAAGCUUGACAGGGUUAUUCUGAGUGAUCUCCGUUAAGGAAAUCUUUUGGCACCUCUAAAAAUGGUGCAGAAUAAGGGGUGGGCAAGCCUGGUGUCAGCCGCCGCGGUAAUACCAGCACCCCGAGUGGUCGGGACGAUUAUUGGGCCUAAAGCAUCCGUAGCCGGUUCUACAAGUCUUCCGUUAAAUCCACCUGCUUAACAGAUGGGCUGCAGAGGAUACUAUAGAGCUAGGAGGCGGGAGAGGCAAGCGGUACUCAGUGGGUAGGGGUAAAAUCCGUUGAUCCACUGAAGACCACCAGUGGCGAAGGCGGCCUGCCAGAACGCGCUCGACGGUGAGGGAUGAAAGCUGGGGGAGCAAACCGGAUUAGAUACCCGGGUAGUCCCAGCUGUAAACGAUGCAGACUCGGUGAUGAAU